RNAcentral lists this unclassified non-coding RNA (226 nucleotides) under fungal sp. Its description in RNAcentral is "partial internal transcribed spacer region". The stretch from base 1 to 46 matches the Rfam family "Eukaryotic small subunit ribosomal RNA", at positions 1786 to 1831 of the family's 1831-position model. The record is from RNAcentral. Lineage: Eukaryota; Fungi.
AAGUCGUAACAAGGUCUCCGUUGGUGAACCAGCGGAGGGAUCAUUACAGAGUCUCGUACUCCCUAAACCACUGUGAACUUACCACUGUUGCUUCGGCGAGAUGCCGGCCGGCGCCCACUGGGGCCCUGCCGGCGGACCGCCGGGGACCCCAAACUUUUGAAUAUCAGAGGAUCUUCAGAGACAGCGCAAGCAAUCAAAACUUUCAGCAACGGAUCUCUUGGCUCUG